GCGCCCGUAGCUCAGGGGAUAGAGCAGCGGAUUUCUAAUCCGUUGGUCGGGAGUUCAAAUCUCCCCGGGCGUG
RNAcentral lists this transfer RNA (73 nucleotides) under Chthoniobacterales bacterium. RNAcentral's name for it is "tRNA-Arg". It matches the Rfam family "tRNA". Rfam says of the family: Transfer RNA (tRNA) molecules are approximately 80 nucleotides in length. Their secondary structure includes four short double-helical elements and three loops (D, anti-codon, and T loops). The record is from RNAcentral. Lineage: Bacteria; Pseudomonadati; Verrucomicrobiota; Spartobacteria; Chthoniobacterales.